AGAGUUUGAUCCUGGCUCAGAUUGAACGCUGGCGGCAUGCCUUACACAUGCAAGUCGAACGGCAGCACGGGAGCAAUCCUGGUGGCGAGUGGCGAACGGGUGAGUAAUACAUCGGAACGUGUCCUGGAGUGGGGGAUAGCCCGGCGAAAGCCGGAUUAAUACCGCAUACGCUCUGCGGAGGAAAGCGGGGGAUCUUUCGGGACCUCGCGCUCAAGGGGCGGCCGAUGGCAGAUUAGGUAGUUGGUGGGGUAAAGGCCUACCAAGCCGACGAUCUGUAGCUGGUCUGAGAGGACGACCAGCCACACUGGGACUGAGACACGGCCCAGACUCCUACGGGAGGCAGCAGUGGGGAAUUUUGGACAAUGGGCGCAAGCCUGAUCCAGCAAUGCCGCGUGUGUGAAGAAGGCCUUCGGGUUGUAAAGCACUUUUGUCCGGAAAGAAAACCUCUGGGUUAAUACCCUUGGGGGCUGACGGUACCGGAAGAAUAAGCACCGGCUAACUACGUGCCAGCAGCCGCGGUAAUACGUAGGGUGCGAGCGUUAAUCGGAAUUACUGGGCGUAAAGCGUGCGCAGGCGGUGAUGUAAGACCGAUGUGAAAUCCCCGGGCUUAACCUGGGAACUGCAUUGGUGACUGCAUCGCUCGAGUAUGGCAGAGGGGGGUAGAAUUCCACGUGUAGCAGUGAAAUGCGUAGAGAUGUGGAGGAAUACCGAUGGCGAAGGCAGCCCCCUGGGUCAAUACUGACGCUCAUGCACGAAAGCGUGGGGAGCAAACAGGAUUAGAUACCCCUGUAGUCC
Molecule: ribosomal RNA, 795 nt
Filed under: uncultured bacterium
Lineage: Bacteria
Description: bacterial SSU rRNA
Rfam family: Bacterial small subunit ribosomal RNA
Source: RNAcentral